Molecule: ribosomal RNA, 802 nt
Filed under: Staphylococcus aureus
Lineage: Bacteria; Bacillati; Bacillota; Bacilli; Caryophanales; Staphylococcaceae
Description: partial 23S ribosomal RNA
Rfam family: Bacterial large subunit ribosomal RNA
Source: RNAcentral
ACGACGGAGCACGUGAAAUUCCGUCGGAAUCUGGGAGGACCAUCUCCUAAGGCUAAAUACUCUCUAGUGACCGAUAGUGAACCAGUACCGUGAGGGAAAGGUGAAAAGCACCCCGGAAGGGGAGUGAAAUAGAACCUGAAACCGUGUGCUUACAAGUAGUCAGAGCCCGUUAAUGGGUGAUGGCGUGCCUUUUGUAGAAUGAACCGGCGAGUUACGAUUUGAUGCAAGGUUAAGCAGUAAAUGUGGAGCCGUAGCGAAAGCGAGUCUGAAUAGGGCGUUUAGUAUUUGGUCGUAGACCCGAAACCAGGUGAUCUACCCUUGGUCAGGUUGAAGUUCAGGUAACACUGAAUGGAGGACCGAACCGACUUACGUUGAAAAGUGAGCGGAUGAACUGAGGGUAGCGGAGAAAUUCCAAUCGAACCUGGAGAUAGCUGGUUCUCUCCGAAAUAGCUUUAGGGCUAGCCUCAAGUGAUGAUUAUUGGAGGUAGAGCACUGUUUGGACGAGGGGCCCCUCUCGGGUUACCGAAUUCAGACAAACUCCGAAUGCCAAUUAAUUUAACUUGGGAGUCAGAACAUGGGUGAUAAGGUCCGUGUUCGAAAGGGAAACAGCCCAGACCACCAGCUAAGGUCCCAAAAUAUAUGUUAAGUGGAAAAGGAUGUGGCGUUGCCCAGACAACUAGGAUGUUGGCUUAGAAGCAGCCAUCAUUUAAAGAGUGCGUAAUAGCUCACUAGUCGAGUGACACUGCGCCGAAAAUGUACCGGGGCUAAACAUAUUACCGAAGCUGUGGAUUGUCCUUUGGAC